GGUUGCGAUCAUACCAGCAUUAAUGCACCGGAUCCCAUCAGAACUCCGCAGUUAAGCGUGUUUGGGCGAGAGUAGUACUAGGAUGGGUGACACCCUGGGAAGUCCUCGUGUUGCAACCC
RNAcentral lists this ribosomal RNA (119 nucleotides) under Helianthus annuus (common sunflower). The record is from RNAcentral. Lineage: Eukaryota; Viridiplantae; Streptophyta; Magnoliopsida; Asterales; Asteraceae.